Molecule: ribosomal RNA, 301 nt
Filed under: uncultured bacterium
Lineage: Bacteria
Description: partial 16S ribosomal RNA
Rfam family: Bacterial small subunit ribosomal RNA
Source: RNAcentral
CAGCCGCCACGGGAAUACGAAGGGUGCAAGCGUUAAUCGGAAUUACUGGGCGUAAAGCGUGCGUAGGCGGUUUGUUAAGUCUGCUGUGAAAUCCCCGGGCUCAACCUGGGAAUGGCAGUGGAUACUGGCAAGCUAGAGUGUGUCAGAGGAUGGUGGAAUUCCCGGUGUAGCGGUGAAAUGCGUAGAGAUCGGGAGGAACAUCAGUGGCGAAGGCGGCCAUCUGGGACAACACUGACGCUGAGGCACGAAAGCGUGGGGAGCAAACAGGAUUAGAUACCCGCGUAGUCCCUGUCUCUUAUAC